GCAAAAAGAGCCUUAGAGCUGCAACCUGUGAUCCCUUGUUGGGUCUGGGACUGGAAAUAGAAAACCACGCCCUUCUGGAAAUCAAAAGAGCCUCACCGUGAGAAGACCAGCAGGCCGGCAAGAGAGGCUUGCGGGCUGAUCCAAAAGUACAAUCCCUACGUGAACCCCCAGUUCCCACUGCCAAAAAAGACGUCCGAUGAUGUCACCAGGGAAUUCCUCUAGGACUUCAAAGUGCCCUCUCCCUAAGUCUAAAGUUCGGCUUCCGGAUGGACGAAACUGAAAACCUCAGGAUGCGGAAACGUGGAGCUGAGAUCCGCACCACACGGAUGAACCUGGAGGGCGUCCCGCUCAAUGAAACAAGCCAGACAGAGAACGACAAAUACUGCGUGGUCUCACUUUAUAUGUGAAAUCUGAAAACCAAAGAAAGACAUGGACUGCGGUCUCUGGUGUCUGAAAAGCGUUAUCGCUAGCUGGCUGAGCUCCAGUCCCACUUCCUGGGCGAUUGCUCCCAUCCUCGCCACCCUGUGUGGACUGGGGCUCCUCCUGCUGUUCCUUCCCUACCUCCAGAGGAAUCCGUGUUUACGACCACCUUGGAAGAGACGUAGAAACAUCAGGAAGCGUCCAGUGGAGCCGAGGGGGAGGAGCGGCAGGACCAGGAAGAAAAGCGGA
This is a long non-coding RNA of Diceros bicornis minor, 669 nucleotides long. RefSeq lists it as uncharacterized. The transcript is spliced from 4 exons. Lineage: Eukaryota; Metazoa; Chordata; Mammalia; Perissodactyla; Rhinocerotidae. The record is from RefSeq and is a predicted model, not a curated record.